AUACGUAGGUGACAAGCGUUAUCCGGAUUUACUGGGCGUAAAGGGCGUGUAGGCGGUCUUGCAAGUCAGAAGUGAAAUUCCUGAGCUCAACUCGGGCGCUGCUUCUGAAACUGCAGGACUUGAGUGCUGGAGGGGAUAGCGGAAUUCCUAGUGGAGCGGUAAAAUGCGCAGAUAUUAGGAAGAACACCGGUGGCGAAGGCGGCUAUCUGGACAGUAACUGGCGCUGAGGCGCAAAAGCGUGGGGACAAAACAGGAUUAGAUACCCUGGUAUUCCACGCCGUAAACGAUGAAUACUAGGUGUAUGGGUUAUCGACUCCCUCUGUGCCGCAGUUAACACAAUAAGUAUCCCGCCUGGGGAGUACGGCCGCAAGGUUGAAACUCAAAGGAAUUGACGGGG
RNAcentral lists this ribosomal RNA (397 nucleotides) under uncultured bacterium. Its description in RNAcentral is "partial 16S ribosomal RNA". It matches the Rfam family "Bacterial small subunit ribosomal RNA", at positions 523 to 918 of the family's 1533-position model. The record is from RNAcentral.